AGUGGGAUUGCUGAGUCAUAUGGUAAUUCUAUGUUUAACUUUUGGAAGAACUACAGACUAUUUUACAAAGCAGCUGUAUUAUUUUAUAUUCCCACCAGCAAU
Molecule: microRNA precursor, 102 nt
Filed under: Marmota monax (woodchuck)
Lineage: Eukaryota; Metazoa; Chordata; Mammalia; Rodentia; Sciuridae
Source: RNAcentral